UACGGGGGGGGCUAGCGUUGUCCGGAAUUAUUGGGCGUAAAGGGCGCGUAGGCGGAAUUGUAAGACAGUGGUUAAAUUUCGGGACUUAACUCCGAAUCUGCCUCUGUGACUGCAGUUCUUGAGUGCGGAAGAGGAAAGCGGAAUUCCCGGUGUAGCGGUGAAAUGCGUAGAUAUCGGGAAGAACACCAGUAGCGAAGGCGGCUUUCUGGUCCGCAACUGACGCUGAGGCGCGAAAGCGUGGGUAGCAAACAGG
This 253-nucleotide ribosomal RNA is filed under the name uncultured bacterium. RNAcentral's name for it is "partial 16S ribosomal RNA". It matches the Rfam family "Bacterial small subunit ribosomal RNA", at positions 524 to 776 of the family's 1533-position model. The record is from RNAcentral.